Molecule: long non-coding RNA, 520 nt
Organism: Frankliniella occidentalis (western flower thrips)
Lineage: Eukaryota; Metazoa; Arthropoda; Insecta; Thysanoptera; Thripidae
Exons: 3
Source: RefSeq, a predicted model, not a curated record
GUUCCUUUGACACACAACGGUUUGUUUCCAGCUGGUAGACGAUGUAUAUUUCAUCACUGACUCCUCUCGUUUCAUUCGCUUGAGGGCAAAGUAUGCCCGGAAACCAACAUACGCCUACUUGUUUUCGUUUCAAUCGGACUACAACCAACCUCCUCGCGACCCAAGAAACCGCGAUCACCUUCGAAACGCGGUGAUACACGGCGACGACCUGGGAUACAUUUGGCGAACUGAGCGAACCAAAGGCCUCCAAGACCUCAACGGCACAGGCAAAGCGGCGGUCGCUCUGCGGCGACAAGUUGCAAUGUGGUCCAAUUUCAUAAAGUAUGGAGAUCCAACACCAUCGACAAAUGCGGGUUUGCUGUCCGUGCGAUGGGCUCCGGUGCGACACUUGACACAACCAGCUUAUUUGGAAAUCGGAGAAAAUAUGACCAUGCAACAAGGCGUCUUCGAAAAUUCAAACAGCCCCUGGGCUGCUCUGUUCAGCAGUUUGCGGGACAAUAAAAGUCUAUAGCAUUCAUAA